GCUCCAGCUGGAAGGAAGUGCCUCUGAAUGGAGUCCAAGAGAAGAAACAAAGAAGAUGGAAACCAGAUGCCUUGAAGUCAUCCCUGUGUGAAAAACUUGAGGCAUACAGAAGUAAAGCAACUUGCCCUGAGUAACAUGGCCAGGAAGUGGCAGAACUAUGAUUCAAACCCAGAGAUGUGCUUUUAACUACUAUGCUAUGAAAUCAGAGAAAUCAAAGAAAUUGAAAAGCCUUUACUGAAAGAAGUGGUGUCACAUCCGCAAGCAGACUGACGGAAGAAGAGGACGACAAAGAGAAUGUGGAGAAAGGGCCAUCCUGGCGCAGCGUGGCCAAGACAUGCAUCCCUGCUAUACUCAAAUCACCGGAGAAACCAAGCUCAGCAUAACAGGAUCUUCCUCCAGGUCUUCUGUGUGAAGCGUGAACUUUAGUCAGGAGCAAAUCAGAAAGCAGCUUUCUUCAGCAGACUUCUGAGGGUCACGUGCCUAGGAAGAUGUUUCCGUAUGAGCCCUGCAUAGAAG
This is a long non-coding RNA of Globicephala melas (long-finned pilot whale), 516 nucleotides long. RefSeq lists it as uncharacterized. The record is from RefSeq and is a predicted model, not a curated record. Lineage: Eukaryota; Metazoa; Chordata; Mammalia; Artiodactyla; Delphinidae.